GAGGGUGUAGCUCAGUGGUAGAACACUUGCUUAGCAUGCACAGGGUCCUGGGUUCCAUUCCCAGUAUCUCCA
Molecule: transfer RNA, 72 nt
Filed under: Camelus bactrianus (Bactrian camel)
Lineage: Eukaryota; Metazoa; Chordata; Mammalia; Artiodactyla; Camelidae
Also listed under: 2 other names
Rfam family: tRNA
About the family: Transfer RNA (tRNA) molecules are approximately 80 nucleotides in length. Their secondary structure includes four short double-helical elements and three loops (D, anti-codon, and T loops).
Source: Rfam by way of RNAcentral